UAUCAUUAACUGAAUCCAUAGGUUAAUGAGGCGAACCGGGGGAACUGAAACAUCUAAGUACCCCGAGGAAAAGAAAUCAACCGAGAUUCCCCCAGUAGCGGCGAGCGAACGGGGAGGAGCCCAGAGCCUGAAUCAGUGUGUGUGUUAGUGGAAGCGUCUGGAAAGGCGCGCGAUACAGGGUGACAGCCCCGUACACAAAAAUGCACAUACUGUGAGCUCGAUGAGUAGGGCGGGACACGUGGUAUCCUGUCUGAAUAUGGGGGGACCAUCCUCCAAGGCUAAAUACUCCUGACUGACCGAUAGUGAACCAGUACCGUGAGGGAAAGGCGAAAAGAACCCCGGCGAGGGGAGUGAAAAAGAACCUGAAACCGUGUACGUACAAGCAGUGGGAGCACGCUUCGGCGUGUGACUGCGUACCUUUUGUAUAAUGGGUCAGCGACUUAUAUUCUGUAGCAAGGUUAACCGAAUAGGGGAGCCGAAGGGAAACCGAGUCUUAACUGGGCGUUAAGUUGCAGGGUAUAGACCCGAAACCCGGUGAUCUAGCCAUGGGCAGGUUGAAGGUUGGGUAACACUAACUGGAGGACCGAACCGACUAAUGUUGAAAAAUUAGCGGAUGACUUGUGGCUGGGGGUGAAAGGCCAAUCAAACCGGGAGAUAGCUGGUUCUCCCCGAAAGCUAUUUAGGUAGCGCCUCGUGAAUUCAUCUCCGGGGGUAGAGCACUGUUUCGGCAAGGGGGUCAUCCCGACUUACCAACCCGAUGCAAACUGCGAAUACCGGAGAAUGUUAUCACGGGAGACACACGGCGGGUGCUAACGUCCGUCGUGAAGAGGGAAACAACCCAGAC
Molecule: ribosomal RNA, 844 nt
Filed under: Escherichia coli
Lineage: Bacteria; Pseudomonadati; Pseudomonadota; Gammaproteobacteria; Enterobacterales; Enterobacteriaceae
Description: partial 23S ribosomal RNA
Rfam family: Bacterial large subunit ribosomal RNA
Source: RNAcentral